RNAcentral lists this ribosomal RNA (504 nucleotides) under uncultured bacterium. Its description in RNAcentral is "partial 16S ribosomal RNA". It matches the Rfam family "Bacterial small subunit ribosomal RNA", at positions 28 to 523 of the family's 1533-position model. The record is from RNAcentral.
GAUGAACGCUGGCGGCAGGCCUAACACAUGCAAGUCGAACGGUAGCACAGAGAGCUUGCUCUCGGGUGACGAGUGGCGGACGGGUGAGUAACGUCUGGGAAACUGCCCGAUGGAGGGGGAUAACUACUGGAAACGGUAGCUAAUACCGCAUAACGUCGCAAGACCAAAGUGGGGGACCUUCGGGCCUCACACCAUCGGAUGUGCCCAGAUGGGAUUAGCUAGUAGGUGGGGUAACGGCUCACCUAGGCGACGAUCCCUAGCUGGUCUGAGAGGAUGACCAGCCACACUGGAACUGAGACACGGUCCAGACUCCUACGGGAGGCAGCAGUGGGGAAUAUUUCACAAUGGGCGCAAGCCUGAUGCAGCCAUGCCGCGUGUAGGAAGAAGGCCUUCGGGUUGUAAAGUACUUUCAGCGGGGAGGAAGGCGGUGAAGUUAAUAGCUUCACCGAUUGACGUUACCCGCAGAAGAAGCACCGGCUAACUCCGUGCCAGCCGCCGCUGUAA